RNAcentral lists this ribosomal RNA (433 nucleotides) under uncultured bacterium. Its description in RNAcentral is "partial 16S ribosomal RNA". It matches the Rfam family "Bacterial small subunit ribosomal RNA", at positions 29 to 507 of the family's 1533-position model. The record is from RNAcentral.
AACGAACGCUGGCGGCAUGCCUAACACAUGCAAGUCGAACGAGACCUUCGGGUCUAGUGGCGCACGGGUGCGUAACGCGUGGGAACCUGCCCUUAGGUUCGGAAUAACUCCCCGAAAGGGGUGCUAAUACCGGAUAAUGUCUUCUGACCAAAGAUUUGUCGACUUUGGAUGGGCCCGCGUUGGAUUAGCUAGUGGGUAGGGUAAAAGCCUACCAAGGCGACGAUCCAUAGCUGGUCUGAGAGGAUGAGCAGCCACACUGGGACUGAGACACGGCCGGGACUCCUGCGGGAGGGAGCAGUGGGGAAUAUUGGACAAUGGGCGAAAGCCUGAUGCAGCAAUGCCGCGUGAGUGAUGAAGGCCGUAGGGUUGUAAAGCUCUUUUACCCGGGAUGAUAAUGACAGUACCGGGAGAAUAAGCUCCGGCUAACUCCGUG